This 91-nucleotide transfer RNA is filed under the name Vibrio coralliirubri. RNAcentral's name for it is "tRNA-Ser". It matches the Rfam family "tRNA". Rfam says of the family: Transfer RNA (tRNA) molecules are approximately 80 nucleotides in length. Their secondary structure includes four short double-helical elements and three loops (D, anti-codon, and T loops). Lineage: Bacteria; Pseudomonadati; Pseudomonadota; Gammaproteobacteria; Vibrionales; Vibrionaceae. The record is from RNAcentral.
GGAGAGAUGGCUGAGUGGCUUAAAGCAGCGGUCUUGAAAACCGCCGUGCGCUAAUAACGCACCUAGGGUUCAAAUCCCUAUUUCUCCGCCA